GAUGAAGAACGCAGUGAAAUGCGAUAAGUAAUGUGAAUUGCAGAAUUCAGUGAAUCAUCGAAUCUUUAAACGCACAUUGCGCCCGCCAGUAUUCUGGCGGGCAUGCCUGUCCGAGCGUCAUUUCAACCCUCGAACCCCUCCGGGGGGUCGGCGUUGGGGAUCGGCCCUUUACGGGGCCGGCCCCGAAAUACAGUGGCGGUCUCGCCGCAGCCUCUCCUGCGCAGUAGUUUGCACACUCGCAUCGGGAGCGCGGCGCGUCCACAGCCGUUAAACACCCCAAACUUCUGAAAUGUUGACCUCGGAUCAGGUAGGAAUACCCGCUGAACUUAAGCAUAUCAAUAAGCGGAGGA
Molecule: unclassified non-coding RNA, 350 nt
Filed under: soil metagenome
Description: partial contains 5.8S ribosomal RNA, internal transcribed spacer 2, and large subunit ribosomal RNA
Rfam family: 5.8S ribosomal RNA (bases 1-120)
Source: RNAcentral